This is a long non-coding RNA of Felis catus (domestic cat), 1077 nucleotides long. RefSeq lists it as uncharacterized. The record is from RefSeq and is a predicted model, not a curated record. Lineage: Eukaryota; Metazoa; Chordata; Mammalia; Carnivora; Felidae. The transcript has 5 exons.
UUAGAAAGGGCACUCUUGCUGGAACCAAGGCCACAGCUUGUCACGAAAGCCAGACGUUGGCAGACGGGACUGAUGGGGCAGGAAGGGCCCCUUGGGGUAGAUGAGGCACAUCCCUGAUGCCUCCCCCAGUCUGCCAGUCAGGGGAGGGGAAGGAGACCCUCAGGUGCACAGAACACAGAUAAUCCACAUUGUUACAGGCCGCCCGGCUGCUUCUGAGAAUGGACUUUAAGGUAUUUGGGACUCAUCCUCCACAACCUCGCCCUCAGCAGUGACACAGUUUGGAAGCGUAACGAGAUGGUGCUCCUCGAGGCAAAACUGAGAAGUCAGAACCAGGAAAGAAUGACUUCAUAUCCUGUACUUGUGUUAGGAUACAUGUAACCCGUACCUCUGCGGCAUUUAAGGUUGGAUUUCCCCAGGAGCGGCCCCUGACACAAGCAUUCCAGUCAAUCUAGUUUAUCUGGAGGGAAUCCGGGAAGCUCUGGGCAGGGAAUGGGAAAGUGACAUAGAGAACAUGACCUUAGUGAGCGGCCAGAGUGACCACCAAGAGGGGUUGUUUCAGGUGGCGUGUCUCACCCAAAUAGCACCUGUCUGUUCACAAUAAAGUAACGGAGAGCACCCCGUGCCAGGAAAGAUUGUGCGAGAUGGAGACACUGAGGCCCUGAGUGGUUCAGAGAGCAGUGAAGUGACAGCCAUGGAUGUGGACGCAGCAGGUGCAUGCUCUCCCCAUCACCACACUGCCAGCUGACAGUCAGUCACACUUGGGGUAUUUGCUGACUGACCGAGCAGAACUGGAGAGGACAGUAAGGAAGAGGAGGAAUUCAGCACGGUGUCCGAGGAAGACUGACGGCCUUGGAGCCACACAGGGCUGAGUUCAACACCCUUCCCUCUGCCCCCCCCCCGCCUCAGCCAACAGCCCUGUGAACACUACCGUGCCACACACCGUGGAAAAUUAAAGGAUGGUAGAGAAAGAGAAUCAUCACCGAAUGCAAAGAGAGAGAAAGACAAAAACACGUAAAACCACAAUAAUCGGGGCACCUGGGUGGCUCAGUUGGUUGAGCAUCUGCCUCUUGAUUUCGU